Bacillus atrophaeus 1942 is the source of this 79-nucleotide non-coding RNA. The record is from Rfam. Lineage: Bacteria; Bacillati; Bacillota; Bacilli; Caryophanales; Bacillaceae.
GGUGUAAACAUGAUGUAAUUUUUUCCUCCUUUUCAGGUUCGUUUCUAAGCCAGGGCGAACCUGCUUUUUUUGUUUUGUU